Molecule: ribosomal RNA, 254 nt
Filed under: uncultured bacterium
Lineage: Bacteria
Description: partial 16S ribosomal RNA
Rfam family: Bacterial small subunit ribosomal RNA
Source: RNAcentral
UACGUAGGGGGCAAGCGUUGUCCGGAUUUAUUGGGCGUAAAGAGCUCGUAGGUGGUUCGGUAAGCCGGAUGUGAAAUCUCCAGGCUCAACCUGGAGGGGUCAUUCGAUACUGCCGUGACUAGAGGUCGGUAGGGGAGUGUGGAAUUCCUGGUGGAGCGGUGAAAUGCGCAGAUAUCAGGAGGAACACCGGUGGCGAAGGCGGGUCUCUGGGCCGAUACUGACGCUGAGGAGCGAAAGCGUGGGGAGCGAACAGG